This 1914-nucleotide ribosomal RNA is filed under the name uncultured eukaryote. Its description in RNAcentral is "SSU rRNA". It matches the Rfam family "Eukaryotic small subunit ribosomal RNA". The record is from RNAcentral.
AACCUGGUUGAUCCUGCCAGUAGUCAUAUGCUUGUCUUAAAGACUAAGCCAUGCAUGUCUAAGUCUAAGUAUUUCAAAAUCGAGACUGCGAAUGGCUCAUUAAAUCAGUUAUAGUUUACUUGAUUGCAUUCUUUACUACUUGGAUAACUGUAGUAACUCUAGAGCUAAUACAUGCGUUAAGAUCCGACUCUUAGGGGAAGGAUUGGCAUUAUCAGGUACAAGGCCGAUACGAUUCUUCACGGAGUCGUUUAUUGGUGAUUCUAGAUAAUUGUCCCGAAUCGUGAGAAAACUUUUCGUUCGACGAUCAAUCAAUCAAGUUUCUGCCCUAUCAACUAGAUGGUAGUGUAUUGGACUACCCAUGGUUAUUACGGGUAACGGGGAAUUAGGGUUCGAUUCCGGAGAGGGAGCCUGAGAAAUGGCUACCACUUCUAAGGAAGGCAGCAGGCGCGCAAAUUACCCAAUCUUAAUACAAGGAGGUAGUGACGAUAAAUAACGAUACGGGUCCUUCGGGAUUCGUAAUCGGAAUGAGAACAAAGUAAAUUUCUUAACGAGGAUCAAUUGGAGGGCAAGUCUGGUGCCAGCAGCCGCGGUAAUUCCAGCUCCAAUAGCGUAUAUUAAAGUUGUUGCAGUUAAAAAGCUCGUAGUCGAAUUCAAAGGCUAUUCGGUAUGUUUAAUUCAUCGGAAGAUGGGUUAGACUAUUGAAAAAGUCAAGUUAAACUCAGUCGAUCAAUUCCUGCUCUUAAUUGGGUGGGAUUGAUUCUGGGUCGGUUACCUUGAAAAAAUUGGAGUGUUCAAAGCAGAUUUAUUUAAUGUCAUUGUACAUAUUAGCAUGGGAUAACGGAACACGAUUGCUCAGUCGUAGUUCGGUCAUGACGGUGAAGUAAUGAUAGAUAGGGGUGGUAGAGGUGGUUGAUAUUCAGUGGCUAGAGGUGAAAUUCUUAGAUUCACUGAAGAUCUCCUGAAGCGAAAGCGUUCCACUAUGACAUCUCCGUUGAUCAAGAACGAAAGUUAGGGGAUCGAAGACGAUCAGAUACCGUCGUAGUCUUAACUAUAAACGAUGCGGACCAAGGAUUGAAGGACGUUCUUUAUAUGACUCCAUCAGAACUUUGUGGGAAAUCACUGAGUUUUUGCGUUCUGGGGGGAGUAUGGUCGCAAGGCUGAAACUUAAAGGAAUUGACGGAAAGAUCACCACCAGGAGUGGAACCUGCGGCUUAAUUUGACUCAACACGGGAAAACUCACUCGGUCAGGACAUAGUAAGGAUUGGCAGAUUGAUAGCUCUUUCUUAAUUUCUAUGGGUGGUGGUGCAUGGUCGUUCUUAGUUGGUGGAGUGAUUUGUCUGGUUAAUUCCGAUAACGAACGAGACCUCAACUUGUUAACUAAGUACUGGUGAUCUUCUAAUUGGGUGAAGUAAUUCGAAUUUCGGCUGAAGGGAAACUUUUGAUUGAGAUCGGGUUAUGGAUCCUUGAAGCUUUGCCGGUUUAUAAACUUCUUAAAAGGACUAUCAGCGUUUAGUUGAUGGAAGGGAGGCAAUAACAGGUCUGUGAUGCCCUUAGAUGUUCGAGGCUGCACGCGCGUUACACUGACAGAAGCAGCAAGUUUAAUAUACCUGAUUUGAAGGAAUUGGGAAAUCUUUUGAAACUCUGUCGUGACAGGGAUCGAUCAUUGUAAUUAUUGGUCGUGAACGAGGAAUUCCUAGUAAGUGCAAGUCACUAACUUGCGUUGAUUACGUCCCUGGUCUUUGUACACACCGCCCGUCGCUCCUACCGAUUGGAUGAUCCGGUGAAUUCACCAGAGAGUGGGGAAACAUCGGCUACUUUUGUGGUCGAUCUUCAUUCGAAGGUGCGUAAACCUUAUUAUCUAGAGGAAGGAGAAGUCGUAACAAGGUUUCCGUAGGUGAACCUGCAGAAGGAUCA